RNAcentral lists this small RNA (985 nucleotides) under Pongo abelii (Sumatran orangutan). RNAcentral's name for it is "processed transcript". The record is from RNAcentral. Lineage: Eukaryota; Metazoa; Chordata; Mammalia; Primates; Hominidae.
UAAGGACGGUCGACUUCGGCGGGACCCAGGUGAGAAAGGCCCACCUGUGUCCUGGUUGAGGGUCUCCAGGGUUCUUUGGGGCCCGAGGCCAAUGGUGGCAGAGUCUACAUAGAACUAUGCUUCGUGGUGUUCUGGGGAAAACCUUUCGACUUGUUGGCUAUACUAUUCAAUAUGGCUGUAUAGCUCAUUGUGCUUUUGAAUACGUUGGUGGUGUUGUCAUGUGUUCUGGACCAUCAAUGGAGCCUACAAUUCAAAAUUCAGAUAUUGUCUUUGCAGAAAAUCUUAGUCGACAUUUUUAUGGUAUCCAAAGAGGUGACAUUGUGAUUGCAAAAAGCCCAAGUGAUCCAAAAUCAAAUAUUUGUAAAAGAGUAAUUGGUUUGGAAGGAGACAAAAUCCUCACCACUAGUCCAUCAGAUUUCUUUAAAAGCCAUAGUUAUGUAUUUGGAAACUAAGCGGUCCCUAUUAAGAUGCUGUUGCUGGCCGGCCACGGUGGCUCACACCUGUAAUCCCAGCACUUUGAGAGGCCAAGGCGGGCAGAUCACCUGAGGUCAGGAGUUUGAGACCAGCCUGCCCAGCAUGGCAAAACCCUGUCUCUGCUAAAAAUACAAAAAAUUAGCCAGGCGUGGUGGCAGGCGCCUGUCAUCUCAGCUACUUGGGAGGCUGAGGCAGGAGAAUCGCUUCAACCCGGGAGGCGGAGGUUGCAGUGAGCCGAGAUCACGCCACUGCCGUGCAGCCUGGGCAACAAGAGCAAAACUCCGUCUCAAGAAAAGAAAAAAAAAAAAAAGAUGCUGUUUGCUUUGCUUAUUUUGAAGGUACUGAAGCCAAUAAUCCUUUCCUGGGGUUAUGUAUGAACUGAGCAUUGGCUACUGUAAAGAUAUGAGAUUAAUUUGUGACUCUCAAAAGAAACAAAUUGUCAUAAGCUCAGACAUCUUGAGUAUGUUGCCUUUCUGUAUAUUCUGCAGGAAUUCCUCAGUUUGCUGCUAGA